Paramuricea clavata is the source of this 214-nucleotide non-coding RNA. NCBI's taxonomy places the organism in Eukaryota, Metazoa, Cnidaria, Anthozoa, Malacalcyonacea, Plexauridae. The record is from the annotation of a GenBank genome assembly.
GGGUCGUUGAUAAUCAACUUUCAUUCCCUUUAAAUAAUCAGAUAUUUUAAAAUCAAUAUAAAUUUUCUCUAAUUCUUACAGGAAUUCUCAUUACGGCGUAUUCUUCCUUGGUGUCUCCUGACCGUCCUGGCAGUGGCGAAGCUGAUCCUGUCCUCAUGGAUGAACCUCUGGUCAAAGAAAUUGCAGUGAAACGCAACUGUAGCCCAGCACAGGU